Molecule: ribosomal RNA, 513 nt
Filed under: uncultured bacterium
Lineage: Bacteria
Description: partial 16S ribosomal RNA
Rfam family: Bacterial small subunit ribosomal RNA
Source: RNAcentral
GAUGAACGCUGGCGGCGUGCCUAAUACAUGCAAGUCGAACGCGCAGCGAAAGGUGCUUGCACCUUUCAAGCGAGUGGCGAACGGGUGAGUAACACGUGGAUAACCUGCCUCAAGGCUGGGGAUAACAUUUGGAAACAGAUGCUAAUACCGAAUAAAACUUAGUAUCGCAUGAUACAAAGUUAAAAGGCGCUACGGCGUCACCUAGAGAUGGAUCCGCGGUGCAUUAGUUAGUUGGUGGGGUAAAGGCUUACCAAGACGAUGAUGCAUAGCCGAGUUGGGAGACUGAUCGGCAACAUUGGGACUGAGACACGGCCCAAACUCCUACGGGAGGCUGAAGUAGGGAAUCUUCCACAAUGGGCGCAAGCCUGAGGGAGCAACGCCGCGUGUGUGAUGAAGGCUUUCGGGUCGUAAAGCACUGUUGUAUGGGAAGAAAUGCUAAAAUAGGGAAUGAUUUUAGUUUGACGGUACCAUACCAGAAAGGGACGGCUAAAUACGUGCCAGCCGCCGCAGUAA